RNAcentral lists this ribosomal RNA (427 nucleotides) under uncultured bacterium. Its description in RNAcentral is "bacterial SSU rRNA". It matches the Rfam family "Bacterial small subunit ribosomal RNA", at positions 355 to 775 of the family's 1533-position model. The record is from RNAcentral.
UCGAGAAUUUUUCACAAUGGGCGCAAGCCUGAUGGAGCGACGCCGCGUGGGGGAUGAGGGGUUUCGAUCCGUAAACCCCUGUCAUUUGCGAACAAACCUUGAUUGUGAAUAGCGAUCGAGCUGAUUGUAGCGGAAGAGGAAGGGACGGCUAACUCUGUGCCAGCAGCCGCGGUAAUACAGAGGUCCCAAGCGUUGUUCGGAUUCACUGGGCGUAAAGGGUGCGUAGGUGGUCGGUGGUGUUCGGUGUGAAAGCUCGGAGCUCAACUCCGAAACGGCAUUGAAAACUCAUCGGCUGGAGGGUCGGAGGGGAGACUGGAAUUCUCGGUGUAGCAGUGAAAUGCGUAGAUAUCGAGAGGAACACCAGUGGCGAAGGCGAGUCUCUGGACGACUCCUGACACUGAGGCACGAAAGCCAGGGGAGCAAACAG